GGCCCUGUAGCUCAAUGGAUAGAGCUCCAGCCUUCUAAGCUGGCCACGAUGGUUCGAUUCCGUCCAGGGUCA
This 72-nucleotide transfer RNA is filed under the name Spirochaetaceae bacterium. RNAcentral describes it as "tRNA-Arg". It matches the Rfam family "tRNA". Rfam says of the family: Transfer RNA (tRNA) molecules are approximately 80 nucleotides in length. Their secondary structure includes four short double-helical elements and three loops (D, anti-codon, and T loops). Lineage: Bacteria; Pseudomonadati; Spirochaetota; Spirochaetia; Spirochaetales; Spirochaetaceae. The record is from RNAcentral.